UACGUAGGGGGCGAGCGUUGUCCGGAUUCAUUGGGCGUAAAGCGCGCGUAGGCGGCUCCGCAAGUCGGCCGUGAAAUCUCCGGGCUCAACUCGGAGGGGUCGGGCGAGACUGCGAGGCUCGAGGUGGGCAGAGGGCAGUGGAAUUCCGGGUGUAGUGGUGGAAUGCGUAGAGAUCCGGAGGAACACCAGUGGCGAAGGCGGCUGCCUGGGCCUGGCCUGACGCUGAGGCGCGAAAGCGUGGGGAGCAAACGGG
RNAcentral lists this ribosomal RNA (253 nucleotides) under uncultured bacterium. RNAcentral describes it as "partial 16S ribosomal RNA". It matches the Rfam family "Bacterial small subunit ribosomal RNA", at positions 524 to 776 of the family's 1533-position model. The record is from RNAcentral.